This 250-nucleotide ribosomal RNA is filed under the name uncultured Anaerolineae bacterium. RNAcentral describes it as "partial 16S ribosomal RNA". It matches the Rfam family "Bacterial small subunit ribosomal RNA", at positions 524 to 773 of the family's 1533-position model. Lineage: Bacteria; Bacillati; Chloroflexota; Anaerolineae. The record is from RNAcentral.
UACGUAGGAGGCAAGCGUUAUCCGGAUUUACUGGGCGUAAAGGGCGUGUAGGCGGGUUUGUAAGUUUGGCGUGAAAGCUCCCGGCUAAACUGGGAGAGUGCGCUGAAGACUGCGUAUCUAGAGGCCAGAAGAGGGAGGUGGAAUUCCGGGUGUAGUGGUGAAAUGCGUAGAUAUCCGGAGGAACACCAGUGGCGAAGGCGGCUUCCUGGGCCUGACCUGACGCUGAGACGCGACAGCCAGGGGAGCGAAC